This 465-nucleotide ribosomal RNA is filed under the name Vreelandella stevensii. RNAcentral's name for it is "partial 16S ribosomal RNA". It matches the Rfam family "Bacterial small subunit ribosomal RNA", at positions 338 to 795 of the family's 1533-position model. Lineage: Bacteria; Pseudomonadati; Pseudomonadota; Gammaproteobacteria; Oceanospirillales; Halomonadaceae. The record is from RNAcentral.
CCUACGGGUGGCAGCAGUGGGGAAUAUUGGACAAUGGGCGAAAGCCUGAUCCAGCCAUGCCGCGUGUGUGAAGAAGGCCUUCGGGUUGUAAAGCACUUUCAGUGGGGAAGAAAGCCUUGGGGCUAAUACCCUCGAGGAAGGACAUCACCCACAGAAGAAGCACCGGCUAACUCCGUGCCAGCAGCCGCGGUAAUACGGAGGGUGCGAGCGUUAAUCGGAAUUACUGGGCGUAAAGCGCGCGUAGGCGGUCUGAUAAGCCGGUUGUGAAAGCCCCGGGCUCAACCUGGGAACGGCAUCCGGAACUGUCAGGCUAGAGUGCAGGAGAGGAAGGUAGAAUUCCCGGUGUAGCGGUGAAAUGCGUAGAGAUCGGGAGGAAUACCAGUGGCGAAGGCGGCCUUCUGGACUGACACUGACGCUGAGGUGCAAAAGCGUGGGUAGCAAACAGGAUUAGAUACCCGAGUAGUC